Molecule: ribosomal RNA, 132 nt
Filed under: uncultured bacterium
Lineage: Bacteria
Description: partial 16S ribosomal RNA
Rfam family: Bacterial small subunit ribosomal RNA
Source: RNAcentral
UGGGGAAUUUUCCGCAAUGGGCGAAAGCCUGACGGAGCAACGCCGCGUGAGGGAGGAAGGUCUUUGGAUUGUAAACCUCUUUUCUCUAGGAAGAUAAUGACGGUACUAGAGGAAUCAGCAUCGGCUAACUCC